Picea glauca (white spruce) is the source of this 121-nucleotide non-coding RNA. Lineage: Eukaryota; Viridiplantae; Streptophyta; Pinopsida; Pinales; Pinaceae. The record is from Rfam.
ACUUGCCUACACCAUAGAGUUAAUGCAUCAGAUCCCAUUAGAACUCCGCAGUUAAGCACUCUCAGGCUAGAGUAAUAUUGGGAUGGGUGACCGCCCUCGAAGUCUUAGUGUUUUACAUGCC